Molecule: transfer RNA, 78 nt
Filed under: Brucella intermedia M86
Lineage: Bacteria; Pseudomonadati; Pseudomonadota; Alphaproteobacteria; Hyphomicrobiales; Brucellaceae
Description: Ochrobactrum intermedium M86 tRNA-Thr
Rfam family: tRNA
About the family: Transfer RNA (tRNA) molecules are approximately 80 nucleotides in length.
Source: RNAcentral
GCCCUUAUAGCUCAGUUGGUAGAGCACCUGAUUUGUAAGUCGAGGGGGUCGGGAGUUCGAGUCUCGUCUGGGGCACCA